UACAUAGGUCCCAAGCGUUGUUCGGAUUCACUGGGCGUAAAGGGUGCGUAGGCGGUCGGGUAAGUCUGACGUGAAAUCUCCAAGCCUAACUUGGAAACUGCGUUGGAUACUAUCCGGCUCGAGGAAUGGAGGGGAGACUGGAAUACUUGGUGUAGCAGUGAAAUGCGUAGAUAUCAAGUGGAACACCAGUGGCGAAGGCGAGUCUCUGGACAUUUCCUGACGCUGAGGCACGAAAGCCAGGGGAGCAAACGGG
RNAcentral lists this ribosomal RNA (253 nucleotides) under uncultured bacterium. RNAcentral describes it as "partial 16S ribosomal RNA". It matches the Rfam family "Bacterial small subunit ribosomal RNA", at positions 524 to 776 of the family's 1533-position model. The record is from RNAcentral.